Molecule: long non-coding RNA, 269 nt
Filed under: Homo sapiens (human)
Lineage: Eukaryota; Metazoa; Chordata; Mammalia; Primates; Hominidae
Description: HSALNT0254953
Source: RNAcentral
CCCGCCACCCAACGCGAAGUGGCAUGUCUGGAAUGGGGUCUUGAUUUUUAAUUCCUUCGUCCCUGGCGAUGCUGGAGCGGCUCUAGUCCGUCAGAGGGGCUCUCUUGGUGGGAGGACCUUCAGCGCCAAACUCCCCAAAGUCCACAACAAAAACCUCUGUUCUAGAACCUUCUUCCAGCAGCCGUGGCUGCUUCAGAGUAGGAGCUGAGGGGCCGAGACCCUGUACUCAGGAGCAGAGGACAGCGUGGCUGGGGUUGAGCCCUGGGAGA